RNAcentral lists this unclassified non-coding RNA (275 nucleotides) under Hevea brasiliensis (rubber tree). Lineage: Eukaryota; Viridiplantae; Streptophyta; Magnoliopsida; Malpighiales; Euphorbiaceae. The record is from RNAcentral.
UCUCAUACCACUCAUUACCACCGUCAAUGAUGGCAUCACCAGGCUCCAAGUGGUCGGACAACGCAGCAAUGGUCUGAUCGACGGGCAAGCCAGCCUUAACGAGGAUGAUAACCGAUCUAGGGCGUUGAAUAGAGAGAACAAAGUCACGAGGAUUGUACUGACCAAAAAGAGGGAGAUUACCUUCGUUGUGAGCACGAUCUACAGUCUCGUCAACCUUGGAAGUGGUGCGAUUGUAGACGGAAAUGGGGAAGCCUUUCUCGGCGAUGUUGAGUGCG